UCCUCUCCUACGUCCUAAAUCGGGUGCCAAGCAAAUGAGGGAAGGCGGUGACGGGACGCGUUGACCCCCCUGGCUAGCCUCGCCGAAUCCGCUCGUUCCCGCGUUAGCAUGACUCCGAGCAAGCGAUGCCUUUUGGUAGAGCGAGUGAUAGGGGCAGCGGCAGCAGGGCCUUCCUUCACCGUGCUAGGGAUGAGUGGUGAGCUACCGGAUUUCGAUUCAACUUAGAGUAUCUCUUUUACAGUUUCUUAUUCGAAUUUCCUUUUUCAGAGUUUUGGUUGUUUCUUCCACGGCUCAAGAUUGUUUGUGUUCUCUAGAUUGAAUUUUCACUGAAAAACUUUGAACGCUAGGAGACCAGGAGAGGAUUCACACUCUUCCGUAGUGGAUCAGAGAUGAGAGGAGGAGCAUGUCGUCCCAUCUACUCCAUGCCAUCCCCUCUCACAAUAGAUGGAGCAUGUCUUACAUGGCUUGGGAGGACGAGCUCCAGAAAUAUAUUAUAUAUGUUCUUCUUUCUUAUCUCUCUUUAAUCGAUUCGGUUUUAACAUGGCAAUUGAUCUGUUGGCACUAGUAUCGAUCAAUUUGUAUCUUUUUUUUUUGUCUAAUAUCUAUCAAUUUUUAUCCCUUUUUAUCUGAUAUCUGAGUUAGUUUC
This 646-nucleotide small RNA is filed under the name Oryza sativa Japonica Group (Japanese rice). RNAcentral describes it as "sRNA Os03g0356477". The record is from RNAcentral. Lineage: Eukaryota; Viridiplantae; Streptophyta; Magnoliopsida; Poales; Poaceae.